UAGGGAAUCUUCUGCAAUGGACGAAAGUCUGACCGAGCAACGCCGCGUGAGUGAAGAAGGUUUUCGGAUCGUAAAACUCUGUUGUUAGAGAAGAACAAGGACGUUAGUAACUGAACGUCCCCUGACGGUAUCUAACCAGAAAGCCACGGCUAACUACGUGCCAGCAGCCGCGGUAAUACGUAGGUGGCAAGCGUUGUCCGGAUUUAUUGGGCGUAAAGCGAGCGCAGGCGGUUUCUUAAGUCUGAUGUGAAAGCCCCCGGCUCAACCGGAGAGGGUCAUUGGAAACUGGGAGACUUGAGUGCAGAAGAGGAGAGUGGAAUUCCAUGUGUAGCGGUGAAAUGCGUAGAUAUAUGGAGGAACACCAGUGGCGAAGGCGGCUCUCUGGUCUGUAACUGACGCUGGGGCUCGAAAGCGUGGGGAGCAAACAGG
This 429-nucleotide ribosomal RNA is filed under the name Gemmatimonadota bacterium. Its description in RNAcentral is "Gemmatimonadetes bacterium partial 16S ribosomal RNA". It matches the Rfam family "Bacterial small subunit ribosomal RNA", at positions 355 to 776 of the family's 1533-position model. The record is from RNAcentral. Lineage: Bacteria; Pseudomonadati; Gemmatimonadota.